RNAcentral lists this ribosomal RNA (438 nucleotides) under uncultured bacterium. Its description in RNAcentral is "partial 16S ribosomal RNA". It matches the Rfam family "Bacterial small subunit ribosomal RNA", at positions 339 to 795 of the family's 1533-position model. The record is from RNAcentral.
CUACGGGAGGCUCCAGUGGGGAAUAUUGGACAAUGGGCGAAAGCCUGAUCCAGCAAUGCCGCGUGUGUGAAGAAGGCCUGCGGGUUGUAAAGCACUUUCGGUAGGGAAGAUAAUGACGGUACCUACAGAAGAAGCACCGGCUAACUCCGUGCCAGCAGCCGCGGUAAUACGGAGGGUGCAAGCGUUAAUCGGAAUUACUGGGCGUAAGCGCGCGUAGGCGGUUUGUUAAGUCGGGUGUGAAAUCCCUGGGCUCAACCUAGGAAUUGCAUUCGAUACUGGCAGGCUAGAGUGUGGUAGAGGGAAGUGGAAUUCCAGGUGUAGCGGUGAAAUGCGUAGAUAUCUGGAGGAACAUCAGUGGCGAAGGCGACUUCCUGGACCAACACUGACGCUGAGGCGCGAAAGCGUGGGGAGCAAACAGGAUUAGAUACCCGAGUAGUC